GCCGGGAGUGGUGGUGCACACCUGUAAUCCCAGUGACUUGGGAGGCUGAGGCAGGAGGAUCUCAAGAUGGAGGCCAGCCUCAG
Molecule: small RNA, 83 nt
Filed under: Marmota monax (woodchuck)
Lineage: Eukaryota; Metazoa; Chordata; Mammalia; Rodentia; Sciuridae
Source: RNAcentral